This 497-nucleotide ribosomal RNA is filed under the name uncultured bacterium. RNAcentral describes it as "partial 16S ribosomal RNA". It matches the Rfam family "Bacterial small subunit ribosomal RNA", at positions 28 to 507 of the family's 1533-position model. The record is from RNAcentral.
GACGAACGCUGGCGGCGUGCCUAAUACAUGCAAGUUGAGCGCUGAAGGUUGGUACUUGUACCAACUGGAUGAGCAGCGAACGGGUGAGUAACACGUGGGGAAUCUGCCUUUGAGCGGGGGACAACAUUUGGAAACGAAUGCUAAUACCGCAUAAAAACUUUAAACACAAGUUUUAAGUUUGAAAGAUGCAAUUGCAUCACUCAAAGAUGAUCCCGCGUUGUAUUAGCUAGUUGGUGAGGUAAAGGCUCACCAAGGCGAUGAUACAUAGCCGACCUGAGAGGGUGAUCGGCCACAUUGGGACUGAGACACGGCCCAAACUCCUACGGGAGGCAGCAGUAGGGAAUCUUCGGCAAUGGACGAAAGUCUGACCGAGCAACGCCGCGUGAGUGAAGAAGGUUGUCGGAUCGUAAAACUCUGUUGGUAGAGAAGAACGUUGGUGAGAGUGGAAAGCUCAUCAAGUGACGGUAACUACCCAGAAAGGGACGGCUAACUACGUG